This 1291-nucleotide ribosomal RNA is filed under the name Madagascaria erythrocladioides. Its description in RNAcentral is "partial Bacterial small subunit ribosomal RNA". It matches the Rfam family "Bacterial small subunit ribosomal RNA". The record is from RNAcentral. Lineage: Eukaryota; Rhodophyta; Compsopogonophyceae; Erythropeltidales; Erythrotrichiaceae.
GUGAAGAGUUUGAUCCUAGCUCAGAAUGAACGCUUUUGUUUAACAUAACGCAUGCAAGUUAAACAUAAAAAAAAUAAAUGUAGCGUACGGGUGAGUAAAAUACAGAAAUUUUAUUUUGGGUUUUAAUUAAAUAUUAUAUAUUGAUAAAGAUUGUUUCGCCCAAUAAAAAGUUUGUACAAGAUUAAGUUGUUGGUAAGUUAAAAGCUUUAGCCAAGCUAAAGAUCUUUAGUUGAUCUGAGAGGAUGAUCAACCACAUUGAAACUGGAACAAGGUUCAAACUUAUUUUAAGGCAGCAGCGGGGAAUUUUGGGCAAUGAACGUAAGUUUGACCCAGUUAAAACAAAUGUGUGAUGAAUAUAAAAAUAUUGUAAAACACUUUUAUAAAGUAUGAUAAAGACUUCUUUAUGAAUAAGUCUCGGCUAACUACGUGCCAGCAGCAGCGGUAAGACGUAGGAGACUAGCGUUAUUCAAAAUAAUUGGGCGUAAAAUACAUGUAGACUGUAAAUUUAGUGUUUUAUUAAUAAAUCUAAAAUUUUAUGUUAAGAUUUAAUCACAAACUAAUUUACUAUUGAGUGUUACAGAAGAUUAUAAAAUUUUAAGUGUAAAAGUAAAGUUUGACCAUAUUUAAAGGAAUACUAAAAGCGAAAGCAAUAAUCUAUGUUACAACUGACGUUGAUAUGUGAAAGCGUAGGGAGCAAACAGGAUUAGGUACCCUGGUAGUCUACGCUGUCAACGAUGAAAGCUCGUUUUAAAUUUUAUCUUGAAACUUAGUUAACACUUUAAGCUUUCUGCCUGGGUAGUACGAUCGCAAGAUUAAAACUCAAAGGAAUUGACGGGAAUUCAUACAAACGGUGGAGCAUGUGGCUUUUAAUGCGAAAUAACGCGCAAAACCUUACCAAACUUUGUAUUAUUAGUUAAUAAAUUCAGGAUUGCAUGGCUGUCGUCAGUCCGUGUUGUGAAAUGUUUGGUUAAUUCCAAUGAACGGACGCAACUUUUAUGUUUAAUAAUUAAAUAUUUUAAACAAACUAUUAGGGAAUUACCUAUAAGGAAGUAAAAAAUGACGCCAAGUCUUCAUGGUCUUUAUAGUUUGGGCUGCUUUCAUGUGCUACAAUAGCAUAAACAAUGAGUAAUAACAAUGUAAAUUGAAAUAAUUCUAAAAAAAUUAUGUUUUAGUUCGGAUUAAAUUUUGCAAUUCAAAUUUAUAAAGCUGGAAUCGUUAGUAAUCGUAAAUAAGAAACGUUACGGUGAAUUUGUAGAUGAAUUUUGUACACACCGCCCGUCACGCUAUGGAA